Pseudophryne corroboree (corroboree frog) is the source of this 901-nucleotide long non-coding RNA. RefSeq lists it as uncharacterized. Lineage: Eukaryota; Metazoa; Chordata; Amphibia; Anura; Myobatrachidae. The record is from RefSeq and is a predicted model, not a curated record. The transcript is spliced from 3 exons.
UGCAGGGGCAGCAGAUUGGCUCGGUGGGAUCCCAGGAUAGUUUUCCUUUGGCCGGGCUAGGGUGGGCUGUUCACUCUUCCUCCCCUGUCACCACCGCACGGGCUCAUCACUAAGCUGCUGCAGCAAUUGGAGCUUAGCUCUUAUCAGGAGGCAUUCACAGCUAAUUACUGGGCGGAAUAACCUGAUCUGUCAACAGCUGUGCCGCUGGGAAACUGAUCAUGUGACUCGGCCGGCACUGCAGCCACGGCACCUUCACAUUACAGUAGAUGUCCCCUCCCCAGAGACCAGCCAGCCUAUCACGGUCUUCAGGGUGGGCUGCCUCUGGGUGGGCUGCAUGUAUCAGCCUAGCCCCUCCCCUCUUCCUGCUCCUCGUCUGCUGCGUGUGUCACUGGAAUGCCUGCCCCUCCCCUCCACAGUGUCCUGGCUUCCUCUAUGCAGCUGCUUUCUAUAGGAAAACGAAGUCAGAUCUCCCACUGUACAGUGCUGAGGACUCUGAGAUGUGCACCAGGACCAGUUACCAGACUAGAGAGAGGAGACAGAGGAGGGUUACCAGAGACCAGAGCCAGAGCGUCUGUCAGGGCUGGGUGUGAGCUCGGAGACUGGGCAGAUGAAAGAAGAACACAAUGUUGGUAGAUGAGGAUUCCCUACAACUAGAGUUCAAUGAGAAGCCAAGAAAAUGCUGAAUACGUGCACUACAGAUCCGCAAACUCCAAAUCAGCCUAUCUUACACCAACAGAGAUUCGGAGGCUGACCUGUAGCGCGCCCAAAAUGGCUGCCUCGCCUGGUGUAACCUGUGGAAUGUAUUCAUCACAAUGUCUGCACCAACCUUGCGUUAUGCUCAGUGUGCCGCUAUGUGCACUACGCUCAUUGUUUGUUAGUUUAAUAUCUUCAUGCAAUAACA